This 445-nucleotide ribosomal RNA is filed under the name uncultured bacterium. Its description in RNAcentral is "partial 16S ribosomal RNA". It matches the Rfam family "Bacterial small subunit ribosomal RNA", at positions 28 to 507 of the family's 1533-position model. The record is from RNAcentral.
GACGAACGCUGGCGGCGUGCCUAAUGCAUGCAAGUCGCACGGGUCUCCUUCGGGAGGUCAGUGGCGAACGGCUGAGGAACACGUGGGGACCUAUCUUUCAGGGGGGGACAACACCGCGAAACCGGUGCUAAUCCCGCUUACGCUCUGCGGAGGAAAGCGUGAGCAAUCACGGGCUGAAGAUUGGCCCGGCGGCCCAUCAGGUAGUUGGCGGGGUAACGGCCCACCAAGCAGGUGACGGGUGGCUGGUCAGCGAGGACGACCGGCCAGACUGGGACUGAGAUACGGCCCAGACUCCUACGGGAGGCAGCAGCAAGGAAUUGUCGGCAAUGGGCGCAAGCCUGACCGGGCAACGCCGCGUGCGGGAUGACGGCCUUCGGGUUGUAAACCGCUUUUGGGGGGGAAGAAACAGACGGUACCCCCCGAAUCAGCCCCGGCUAACUCUGUG